Molecule: long non-coding RNA, 2035 nt
Filed under: Capsicum annuum
Lineage: Eukaryota; Viridiplantae; Streptophyta; Magnoliopsida; Solanales; Solanaceae
Description: long non-coding RNA (CANN_LNC005796)
Source: RNAcentral
CUAGCAAUGAGGCUUCUUGGUGGCGGCCCCGGUAGGGGUCGUCAUUUGCCACAUAUCUUAGUGGCAUUGGCGGCCAUUUUGGCUGUUGCUAAUGUUGUUUCUGCUGAUCCUUAUGUAUAUGCUUCUCCACCUCCACCACCUUACGAGUACAAGUCGCCACCCCCUCCUUCUCCCUCUCCACCACCGCCUUAUGAGUACAAGUCGCCACCACCUCCUUCUCCAUCUCCUCCACCGCCAUAUGAAUACAAGUCGCCACCACCUCCUUCACCAUCACCUCCACCACCAUACUACUACUCUUCCCCACCACCUCCGAAGAAGUCACCUCCACCACCAUACUACUACUCCUCUCCACCACCACCCGAGAAGUCACCUCCUCCACCAUACUACUACUCCUCUCCUCCACCCCCGGAGAAGUCACCUCCACCACCUUACUACUACUCUUCUCCACCACCCCCCAAGAAGUCACCUCCACCUCCAUACUACUAUAGUUCUCCACCACCACCCGAGAAGUCACCUCCACCACCUUACUACUAUUCUUCUCCUCCACCACCCGAGAAGUCACCUCCACCACCAUACUACUACUACUCUCCUCCACCACCCAAGAAGUCACCUCCACCUCCAUACUACUACAGUUCUCCACCACCACCAGUUAAGUAUCCUCCUCCACCAUACUACUACCCUUCUCCACCACCACCCAAGGAAUCACCUCCUCCACCAUACUACUACUCCUCACCACCACCACCCAAGAAGUCACCCCCACCCCCAUACUACUACUCCUCUCCUCCACCACCAGUUAAAUAUCCUCCUCCACCAUACUACUACUCUUCCCCACCACCACCAGUUAAGUACCCUCCUCCACCAUAUUACUACACUUCUCCUCCACCACCUACUCCUUACUAUCCUCCUCAUCACCCCUUGAUUGUUAAGGUUGUAGGAAAAGUCUACUGCUACAGAUGUUAUGACUGGAAAUACCCAAAGAAAUCCCAUGACAAGAAGCACCUCAAAGGUAUACCACUCUUCUACACUUCAUUCCUCUCUUACAUUAUUUUUUUUUCCUUGUUUAGUACAUUUCUUCAUAACUAUAUUCUGUUAGAUAUUUGUUUGUGAAUCUUUUACUCUCUUUAUUCUUAAAAUUAUAUAUAACAUGAGACAUGCGUGAAUUUGAAGGCACCACCCUAUUCAUUUAAAUGACUUUAGGGACUUAAAUCCAACCAACAUUCUUUCUAUAUUUAUGAAGUAUAGAAAAUGAAAGUGAUAUUUCAUUUCUGUGAAAGCAAAAUCUUGUAUACAGAGUUAAUUAUAAUGGCGAGUUCUCAAAAAUAUUACUUACUAAAUAGUUUAUUAUCUUCAAGUAUGUAGUUCUACUUGCUUUAAAGAAAUAGUUCAAAAUUUGGUAACUCUUUGCUAUAUUACCCUACAAAAAGAUGAGAUAUAUUUGUCAAAAAAAGGGUUUUAAAACCAUUGAAGAAGUUUUUUACAACGAAAUCAUGAAAACGCAUCAGAAGUAAAAGUAAGAAAACAUCAUCACUUAAUUAUGCUUGCCAUACAAAAGGUAUAUUCAUUGAUUAUGCAAUUAUUUGUGGUAUUAUAUAUAUAUAUAUGAUUUUCUUUUUCAUGAUUAAACAAUUAUUAACUUGAUCUAUUAAAAAUAUAUUAUAACAAUAAUAAAAAAGUUUCAUUGAAUAUCACCAAAAUGUUGAAAAAAACAAAGAGGUAAUUGGAGACAGAUGGAUAGAUUCUUGACUUUGAAUUGCUUAUUAGCUAAUAAAGAGGAAAAGCAACAUGAAUAAGUGGAUAAUGAGCUUUUGAUCAUGUGAUGGAAUACUUAAUUUUAUAGUAAGGAAAGGACAACGUUGGUUAUUGUAGCUAGUGGGCAAAAUAAGCUAAAAAAUAUGUCUAUAUGAUCUAGUUAAUGACUCAAUUAUUAAGUACUAAUUGCAUUAUUAUCAAUUUUCACACUUGGUAUAUACUAUAUAUAUAGGUGCUGUUGUUGAGGUGACAUGCAAGGCUGGUUACAAAGAAAUCAAGAGCUAUG